This 448-nucleotide ribosomal RNA is filed under the name uncultured bacterium. RNAcentral describes it as "bacterial SSU rRNA". It matches the Rfam family "Bacterial small subunit ribosomal RNA", at positions 330 to 792 of the family's 1533-position model. The record is from RNAcentral.
ACCAGACUCCUACGGGAGGCAGCAGUGGGGAAUAUUGGACAAUGGGGGGAACCCUGAUCCAGCGACGCCGCGUGAGUGAAGAAGUAUUUCGGUAUGUAAAGCUCUAUCAGCAGGGAAGAAAGAAAUGACGGUACCUGACUAAGAAGCCCCGGCUAACUACGUGCCAGCAGCCGCGGUAAUACGUAGGGGGCAAGCGGUAUCCGGAUUUACUGGGUGUAAAGGGGGCGCAGACGGCAGCGCAAGCCAGGAGUGAAAGCCCGGGGCCCAACCCCGGGCCUGCUCUUGGAACUGCGGGGCUGGAGUGCAGGAGGGGCAGGCGGAAUUCCUGGUGUAGCGGUGAAAUGCGUAGAUAUCAGGAGGAACACCGGUGGCGAAGGCGGCCUGCUGGACUGCGACUGACGUUGAGGCCCGAAAGCGUGGGGAGCAAACAGGAUUAGAUACCCGAGUA